Molecule: small RNA, 726 nt
Filed under: Cryptococcus neoformans H99
Lineage: Eukaryota; Fungi; Basidiomycota; Tremellomycetes; Tremellales; Cryptococcaceae
Description: Cryptococcus neoformans var. grubii H99 hypothetical RNA
Source: RNAcentral
AAGAGAUUGGCAACCAGUCUCUGCCCUCAUAUACAGCUGACACUUCGUAAUAAACUUUUUCGACUACACACAAUGAACAGGUAUGCGAUAAGCGACGAAAUAAGGCCCAUUUAUCACAUGGGCCAGAUUGGAGUAACAAAAUGCAUGGUAUAGCGGAGGGAUCCAACAAAUUCGCUCCAGCAAUGAGCACCAUAUAGGGCGGUGGUGGCUACGAUGUCUUCACUUCCAUCCUUCAGCUAUCCUCACACCAACCCAUUUGACCACUUCAGCCACCUCCCUCGCAAUCAUGUCCCCUUUGGAGAAUGCCUCAUCCACCCCUUUCUGCGCUUUCUCAUAGGCAUCGACCAUACUAUCCCUGCUCUUUUUACUACCGCUGAUGUAGGCACUAUCGGCAAAUUCUCCCGAUAGGCGCAAUUCUGACAGGAGGGCGAGCAGUGAGGUUAUUUCCAUGACGAGCGAGCGGGAUUCCAGAAGUUUAGCGUACGUGAAAGCUUGGAAAAGAUGGUCAUUGGCCGAGUCUGGGGAACUGUUAACCGCUUUCUGUUGAUUUAUUGUAAAGACACGAACCAUGUUCGGCAGUGGACCCGCUAUCCAGCGAAAGCUCAAUGUAUCCUUUGGCUAUGACAAGUGCCCCCCUCGCCAGGGCCUCGUAGUCCUCUGAUGCAAUGAGCUAAUACUUGUUGGUUUAUUUCCCCGCCAAAAAAAGUAAAAAUAAAAAAAUCCAUU